GUGCAGCAGUCGAGAAACCUCCGCAAUGCACGCAAGUGUGACGGGGAUUCCAAGUGUUAUUGCAUUUUGUGUGAUAACUUUCUUAAAUGUAAAUAGUUUGAGGAAUAAGGGCUGGGUAAGACGGGUGCCAGCCGCCGCGGUAAUACCCGCAGCUCAAGUGGUCUGGAGUUUUAUUGGGUCUAAAGCGUUCGUAGCUGGGUCUAUAAGUUCUCUGUGAAAUCUAACGGCUUAACCGUUAGGCGUGCAGAGGAUACUGUAGACCUCGAGACUGGGAUGGGUCAAGGGUACUCUCGGGGUAGGGGUGAAAUCCAAUAAUCCUGAGGGGACCACCUGUGGCGAAGGCGCUUGGCUAGAACAGGUCUGACAGUGAGGGACGAAAGCUAGGGGAGCGAACGGGAUUAGAUACCCCCGUAGU
This 415-nucleotide ribosomal RNA is filed under the name uncultured microorganism. RNAcentral describes it as "bacterial SSU rRNA". It matches the Rfam family "Archaeal small subunit ribosomal RNA", at positions 330 to 745 of the family's 1478-position model. The record is from RNAcentral.